CGCAGCUUCAGCAACGCAACGGCGUCGAACCGAAUCACUGGCAUCCUCACGAAACCUUAACAACAUAAACGCCACGAUGCGCUGGCUCAACCGCAAGCGUCCGACGACGCCCCUCUACAUCCCCGACCCGCGUCGCCCAUCCAUUGUGUUUGUUCUCACAUCUCCGGAGCCCGUACUCAGCGCGCUGCUGCUGGGCGUCAGCUGCUACUUUCUCACGGUAGUCACCGGGAGCACAUCGCUAGACGGCCCCGGGGGUCUCUGGCAGGCGUUUGGCCGAAAGAGUCGUGCCCGCAUGCAGAGCCGCGAGUCGGAGCUGCGGCCGGAUCCCCCGCUGGCGAUCAGCUUCGACAUGCUCAUCGUAGUGUUGUGCAUCUUCGCCUCGAAUAGCGUCCUCGCCGCGUGCAGCCGGGUCCUGGCGAGGGAGCAACGUCGCGUCGAGGACGCGGCGGAGGCAGAGUGGCUGGCGGCCGUCUCGAACCCGGAAACGCGGAGUGAGCGGCUCGCGAAAGAUGCGCAGGAGCUCGCUGAAAAGGUGAAGUUCUGGCAGGAGAACGACGAGCGCCGCAAGGCUGGCCAGGCUGCGCGCCGCGAGCGCAUCAAGAAGCUCGACGUCAUGGCCGAUGAAGUAAUGACGAACAUCAUCAUCAUCGUCUCCGUCGUUGUGAGCCUCGGGGCUGCCUACUCUAUCCUUAUGCAGCCGCCAAACCAAGUCCGAGGUCUCGGCAUGGCCGGAAUGCUAGUGGUGCUCAUUGGCGGUCUCAUCGUGUGCGGGCUUGACCGCUACAUCAGCAGCAUGCGCCACUACUGCAACUAUGUAAAUUUGCUCUGCAUCUUCUCGCUGCUGGUGUUGGCCGCUCGCGCGAGUGUGUUGGCAGAGUGAGCACCUGGGUAGUGUGCUUGCAUAAUCUCUGCAGUUGCAAUGCCUUGGGAAAGGGGGAGGGAGGGGUGGUACCCGCGUAUGUAUGUGUGUGUGUGUAUGUAUGUGUGUGCGUCGAUCCAGUGCCUCUGAACCUUAAACAACCUCCGUGAAGACCCGAUCACCGUCUACACACACACACACACACACCUCCCCUCCCCUCCCCACGCCACUGUCACUGUCCACAACAACCCAGAACGAGAAGUCUCCAUAUGUGUGUGUGUGUGUGUGUUUACGGGUGAGGAUGGCGGUGGUGGCGACGCGGAGGUGUGGGGGCAUAGUGGCAAGAACGCCUCAGCAACGUAACAGGUGCACAUCCGUCGAUGGAUACCGUCACUCGCACUCUCUCCCGAGCGUGCACCACCCCUCCCUUUCCCAUUUCUCCUCUCUUUCUCGGCGGCGCACGCACCUCCGCAAGCAGCGCCGCUGGCAAGGUCAUCUUGCCUCUCCUUGCCUUCCUUUCGCUGGUUUUGCGCGAGCGAUGCUGAGCUGCAUGACAAGACGCUGCAUGGAAUCGCUCCCGCACAAGCGGUGCAUGAACCUGUUGCCCCUCCCCCUGUACGUCUACGUCUCUGCUCACGCUCACGCACGAGCAG
Molecule: unclassified non-coding RNA, 1512 nt
Filed under: Leishmania donovani
Lineage: Eukaryota; Euglenozoa; Kinetoplastea; Trypanosomatida; Trypanosomatidae
Description: gene:LdHU3.04.0780(CDS-product:Ankyrin_repeat_put ative)
Source: RNAcentral